Molecule: long non-coding RNA, 144 nt
Organism: Etheostoma cragini (Arkansas darter)
Lineage: Eukaryota; Metazoa; Chordata; Actinopteri; Perciformes; Percidae
Exons: 3
Source: RefSeq, a predicted model, not a curated record
AAACUUUUUCUCCACAUUUUGAACAGAGGAAUCAGCUCAAAUGGUAGAGUGCUUGCUUAGCAUGCGAGAGGAAGUAGGAUCGAUGCCCACAUUCUCCAAAGGACUUUAGUCUCUUCUUGUUUCCCUGUACUAUGAUUUUUUUUG